Triticum aestivum (bread wheat) is the source of this 135-nucleotide non-coding RNA. The record is from Rfam. NCBI's taxonomy places the organism in Eukaryota, Viridiplantae, Streptophyta, Magnoliopsida, Poales, Poaceae.
AUUGUACUCCCUCCGUCCGAAAAUACUUAUCAUCAAAAUGGAGAAAAAGGGAUGUAUCUAGAACAAAACUACAUCUAGAUACAUCCCCUUUUAUUUAUUUUGAUGACAAGUAUUUCCGGACGGAGGGAGUAUAUU